This is a non-coding RNA of Citrus sinensis (sweet orange), 86 nucleotides long. Lineage: Eukaryota; Viridiplantae; Streptophyta; Magnoliopsida; Sapindales; Rutaceae. The record is from Rfam.
GUAUGCCUGGCUCCCUGUAUGCUUUUUGCAAAGCCCAUCAGAAGAUUGGUGGUCUUGGCGGAUAGCGUGCGAGGAGCCAUGCAUGC